AAAAUGAAAAAGCAUGGAAAAUUCACAGGGCACAGAGGGGAGAGAGCGAGAGAGACGCAAUGCCUGAAAGAGACGAGAGAGACUCUCUCUCUCUCUCUAAAGCAGGAUAUUUUCUUCUAAUUCUGCGAGGAAACGAGAAAUACGACAAGUACGACUUGGAGAAGCAGCGCGACCUCAACCCUUACGGCGACGAUGUCUUCGCUCGUCUCUACGCUGGCGUCAAUGACAAAAUCUAAGCUGCUCUUCAGGUUUGUUUGAAUCUCGUCUGUUCUUCAUUCCAUUGUUUCGGUUUGGUUGCCGAGAAAAUGUAGCAACGGAGAGACAGGGGAAACGGAAAUAUUUGAGUUCCUGGUGUUUGAUUGUGUGCUGAAAUGUGCAGAAAGCCGAGAUGGGUGAGUAAUCGGGUAGUGGCGGUUGCAACGAAUGUGGAGAUUCGACGGACCAAAGCUUGAUUGAUGGAGGAUGUUCCUAACCUGCCGAAAUUGGCUCAAAAAAGGUUUAUCAAAUCAUCUGUUUUUUUUUAAAAAAAUUUAUUUAUUUAUAAAUUUUUAAAAUUUGUGUAUUUUUAAUUAAGCUUGAAUUUUAGGAAAUACGUCUGAUUAGAUAUGAUUUGGUAGUUGUGGGUCACCAAUUAGGCUUUUUCUCCAAUUGUUUCCUGGUUUUGGAAAAGUGGUGUGGAUUGGGCCUCUGUUCCUCUCUGUCUAUCCAUGAUGCACAAGAAGAGUGUUGUUCUUGUAGUACGAGACUAGAAAUAGGAUAACUGUAGAAGAAUCUGGAA
This 778-nucleotide long non-coding RNA is filed under the name Prunus dulcis (almond). RNAcentral's name for it is "sRNA ncRNA". The record is from RNAcentral. Lineage: Eukaryota; Viridiplantae; Streptophyta; Magnoliopsida; Rosales; Rosaceae.